Molecule: long non-coding RNA, 627 nt
Organism: Cyprinus carpio (common carp)
Lineage: Eukaryota; Metazoa; Chordata; Actinopteri; Cypriniformes; Cyprinidae
Source: Ensembl
CCUUGGAUGUGUUACAUCGCUUGUAAUGAUUGGCAAAUCCGUUUGUCCUUCGUGUUAGAAACAGCGCGAGUAAUUGGAGUACUACUGUACAUCAAAAAAAGAACGGGGCAUCAAUUUACUCUCCGUAUCCACUGAAGAUAGUAUAAUGGGAUCUAUAUUGUCUUUUGUCAAGUCGCGCCAUGCAACUCAGAAGACAUGGAAGCAGCAUGGCAGCGCCACAGGUUUUGCCCGGGGAUGAACCCGCGAGAGUGGAAGAGUUCUGGAGAACAUCUGCACUGUGAAUCGAUGCACCUUACGAGAGAAUAAAACCUGCAAGCAAGGCAACUGCAAUGAAGCAUCAAGAAAGACAUGAGCAUGCAAGCCACCCUGAGACUGAUAAUUCAUGUGAACACAUUCACAAAGUGUAUGGUGAGCAAAGGUGGUGGCCACGUUUUGGAGCUGCAGCUGGGUUUUGCAGAUGGCUAUGUAUUUUUUGGCUGCUUAUCUUUUUUCCCCCAUUGUUUCUGUUGCCUAAAGAUUCUUUGUGAGGAUAAAUCCAGAGGAUACAACAUAAUGCACUGCAAAAGGUCCUAAGACAGGGGAAAUGGUGAAGAUGCACUGUUCCAGCAUUGGAAGAGUGUAUUUUUA